Molecule: ribosomal RNA, 453 nt
Filed under: uncultured Porphyromonadaceae bacterium
Lineage: Bacteria; Pseudomonadati; Bacteroidota; Bacteroidia; Bacteroidales; Porphyromonadaceae
Description: bacterial SSU rRNA
Rfam family: Bacterial small subunit ribosomal RNA
Source: RNAcentral
ACGGGAGGCAGCAGUGAGGAAUAUUGGUCAAUGGGCGGAAGCCUGAACCAGCCAUGCCGCGUGAAGGAUUGAGGCCCUAUGGGUCGUAAACUUCUUUAGCUGUGGAGCAAUAAGGGCUAUGCAUAGCCUGAUGAGAGUACACAGAGAAUAAGGAUCGGCUAACUCCGUGCCAGCAGCCGCGGUAAUACGGAGGAUCCGAGCGUUAUCCGGAUUUAUUGGGUUUAAAGGGUGCGCAGGCGGCGUUUUAAGUCAGUGGUAAAAUCGUGGGGCCCAACCCCAUCCUGCCAUUGAUACUGGAGCGCUUGAUUGCGGUCGAGGUUUGCGGAAUUCGUCGUGUAGCGGUGAAAUGCAUAGAUAUGACGAAGAACACCGAUUGCGUAGGCAGCAGACCAGUCCGUAAAUGACGCUCAUGCACGAAAGUGCGGGGAUCGAACAGGAUUAGAUACCCUGGUA